Molecule: ribosomal RNA, 1095 nt
Filed under: Bacillus licheniformis
Lineage: Bacteria; Bacillati; Bacillota; Bacilli; Caryophanales; Bacillaceae
Also listed under: 1 other name
Description: bacterial SSU rRNA
Rfam family: Bacterial small subunit ribosomal RNA
Source: RNAcentral
GCAUUCAUCGCUCCGUUGAUGUAUGAAGUUUUCGGAAUCGUAAAGUCUCUGUUGUUAAGGAGGAGCAAGUAACGUUCGAUAGGGCGUACCUUGACGUACCUACCAGAAGCACGGCUACUACGUGCAGCAGCCGCGGUAAUACGUAGGUGGCAAGCCGUUGUCCGGAAAUUAUUGGGCGUAAAAGGGCUCGCAGGGCGGGUUUUCUUAAAGUCUGAUGUGAAAGCCCCCGGGCUCAACCCGGGGAGGGUCAUUUGGAAACUGGGGAAACUUGAGUGCAGAAGAGGAGAGUGGAAUUUCCACGUGUAGCGGUGAAAUGCGUAGAGAUGUGGAGGAACACCAGUGGCGAAGGCGACUCUCUGGUCUGUAACUGACGCUGAGGAGCGAAAGCGUGGGGAGCGAACAGGAUUAGAUACCCUGGUAGUCCACGCCGUAAACGAUGAGUGCUAAGUGUUAGGGGGUUUCCGCCCCUUAGUGCUGCAGCUAACGCAUUAAGCACUCCGCCUGGGGAGUACGGUCGCAAGACUGAAACUCAAAGGAAUUGACGGGGGCCCGCACAAGCGGUGGAGCAUGUGGUUUAAUUCGAAGCAACGCGAAGAACCUUACCAGGUCUUGACAUCCUCUGACAAUCCUAGAGAUAGGACGUCCCCUUCGGGGGCAGAGUGACAGGUGGUGCAUGGUUGUCGUCAGCUCGUGUCGUGAGAUGUUGGGUUAAGUCCCGCAACGAGCGCAACCCUUGAUCUUAGUUGCCAGCAUUCAGUUGGGCACUCUAAGGUGACUGCCGGUGACAAACCGGAGGAAGGUGGGGAUGACGUCAAAUCAUCAUGCCCCUUAUGACCUGGGCUACACACGUGCUACAAUGGACAGAACAAAGGGCAGCGAAACCGCGAGGUUAAGCCAAUCCCACAAAUCUGUUCUCAGUUCGGAUCGCAGUCUGCAACUCGACUGCGUGAAGCUGGAAUCGCUAGUAAUCGCGGAUCAGCAUGCCGCGGUGAAUACGUUCCCGGGCCUUGUACACACCGCCCGUCACACCACGAGAGUUUGUAACACCCGAAGUCGGUGAGGUAACCUGUAGGAGCCAGCCGCCGAAGUGAUAAU